Molecule: unclassified non-coding RNA, 289 nt
Filed under: uncultured fungus
Lineage: Eukaryota; Fungi
Description: partial contains 5.8S ribosomal RNA, internal transcribed spacer 2, and large subunit ribosomal RNA
Rfam family: 5.8S ribosomal RNA (bases 1-52)
Source: RNAcentral
AACGCACCUUGCACUCCUUGGUAUUCCGAGGAGUAUGCCUGUUUGAGUGUCAUUAAAUUCUCAAACUUUUUUCCUCGUUAAUCUUGGAGAUAAGUUUGGAUAUGAGAGUUGCCGGUUUUUUCUUAAAUCGGCUCCCUUUAAAUGCAUUAGUAGUUUUGGCUUUGUUCCACAUUCUCAAUUGAUGUGAUAGGUUAUCUACAUCACUAGAGAUUGUAUCUGCUUAUAAUCGUCUAUUGACAAAUAUUGAUAAUUUGACCUCAAAUCAGGUAGGACUACCCGCUGAACUUAA